RNAcentral lists this ribosomal RNA (301 nucleotides) under uncultured bacterium. RNAcentral's name for it is "partial 16S ribosomal RNA". It matches the Rfam family "Bacterial small subunit ribosomal RNA", at positions 509 to 807 of the family's 1533-position model. The record is from RNAcentral.
CAGUCGCCGCGGGAAUACGAAGGAGGCUAGCGUUGCUCGGAAUUACUGGGCGUAAAGCGUGCGCAGGCGGUUCGCUAAGACAGAUGUGAAAUCCCCGGGCUUAACCUGGGAACUGCAUUUGUGACUGGCGGGCUAGAGUAUGGCAGAGGGGGGUAGAAUUCCACGUGUAGCAGUGAAAUGCGUAGAGAUGUGGAGGAAUACCGAUGGCGAAGGCAGCCCCCUGGGCCAAUACUGACGCUCAUGCACGAAAGCGUGGGGAGCAAACAGGAUUAGAUACCCCCGUAGUCCCUGUCUCUUAUAC